AAGUCCUCUUUAUGUUCAAUUACUUUUUCACUAAGUUCAUUGAGUUUCUUUGUAACCAGUGUUUUGAAAUCUGCAUCUAGUAGAUUGCUGGUCUCCAUUUUGUUUAGUUCUUUUUCUAUUCUUUCGUUUGGGACAUGUUUCUUUGUCUCCUCAUUUUUGGCAGCCUCUCUGCGUUUGUUUCUAUGAAUUAGGUAGAGCUGCUAUGUCUUCUGGGUUUGGUAGGGUCCCUUAUGUAGUAGGUGUUCUGCAGGGUAUAGUA
Molecule: long non-coding RNA, 259 nt
Organism: Pipistrellus kuhlii (Kuhl's pipistrelle)
Lineage: Eukaryota; Metazoa; Chordata; Mammalia; Chiroptera; Vespertilionidae
Exons: 4
Source: RefSeq, a predicted model, not a curated record